GGGGCGCUCAGCGGGCUGAGGGCGGCCCUGGCGGGCAGGCUGGGCGCCUUGCCCGGGCGGCAAACCCUUGCAAACCGCCCGUGUCCGCUUUGCCAGCGGGGUUUUGUGUGUCAGUCUGCUAGAGGGUAGGGAAGCUUUACGUCGGCAUCUGGACGGGUUAGACCAAUGGGUCAAGGCGAAGUGUAUGAAGCUCAACGAGGCCUAGUGCUGUGUGCUGCAGCUGAGUCGCAACAGCCUCAUGGUAAUCUACAGACGUGGGGAUUCAAGGAAAGAACAGGUGUAACUGAAGUCAAAUGAAGGAGUUCUGAUGAGAAAACACCUUUGUCAUGUGAGAUACUACCAGUGUUAAGGAGACAGCUGGCCAUGGUAUAACAUGUGGUGUCUGGCUUUAGAGUGGAAGCCUUGCUGCUUCUUCAUCACCUGAAGUGUUGUCAGCUCUUUGUAUGUGCUUCACAAAGUACGUGGAUGAAGACAUUCAGCUGAAGACCUGCCAUGAUGUGAAGCAGCAAUUGAAGAUAAGUAGUCAGAGUCCAACUGGAAAGUAUAGGAGAAACUUUGAAAUUCCAGUUCAGGGCAUCACCUGUCUGUGGAGGUGGAUGUCUUUGGAACUGAACAGAGAUCAAGAUAAACUUCCUGUUAGACUGGGAUACUAUCUAAGGAAGAUGUCUGCAGGUUGAGUGAAUCCUCACCCCCAGCUUUGGCAAGUGUGUAUUUUGGGUAUCCUUGAGUGCAAGGUUUCACCUUUCAGUCAAUGUGCACACAUUUUGGUUCAUCUUUGUAGAAAGAAUAUUCCUUGAAGUUUAAGGUUAAAGCUUAACUGGUCAUGUAGUAGUUAUGUUCCUGACUGGCAUCUGAACUUACAAUUUAGUUGUGUCCAAAGGACUGAGUAAUUGUAAAAAAAAAUUUUUUCAAUAAAUCUGUGUUUUGGGUAGCCAUUGCUGGCUGGGUUUUGGGUGCUUUGGUGACAGCCUUGACAACUCUGUUUUAUCACAUAGCUGUUCAAAGACUUUGAGAGGAAGAGGACAGGAGCAGAAGCUGCAUCCUAGUCUUGGUUUCCUGUGAUUUGUUAAUAACAGACUUUGAGAGGGCAAGAGCAGAAGCUGAAUCUCAGUCUUGGUUUCCUGUGAUUUGUUAAUAACUGUGUAAGAUUACCACUGUGAUGCCACACAUUUCCCAGGUGUAGGAUGUGUUUAUCCUGGGCUUGCCUUAUUGGCUUUCUGUGAUUCAGUAUCCUGUAAGUGCUAUGGCAAGUCUGAAGUUUGUCUAUCACCAGUUCAGUCUUUCACUAUAGAUGUAUGAACACUGAAGCAAUUCAGAGCUCAUAGAAGUCUGUCACUAUGACAGCUAUGAAAUUCCAAUUAGACACUUUUUAAAUACUUCUGUACCACCCUCAGUUUCCACUAAAAUCAGUCAACUUACAGAGAUACUGAGAGAGCAGCAAGCACAUUCUUGGGAAACUUCCUCCAUGGAUGAUUUGCAUGAUGAGUUUAAUAUCACUUGUUUUCAGAUAGGGAAGAGUUAAUUAGUGAAACAUUAAAAACUGGUUAAUGAAAAAAGAAGAAAAAAAAAGUUGCCCUUAUGAUUCUGGAUUGCAGUUUGUUCUAACCACAGAAUUACUCACACUGGAAUACACCUCUGAGAUCAUCAGGUCCAGCCUAUGGACUAGAUGCGUCUGGCCAAAAACAUUCUACAAUUCAUUCUGUGAGCCUCACACCAAAGAAAUUUGUGCUGUGAUGCUGUUCUGGAAAUGCAGUUAUUUCCUCAGCUGUUUUUCAUGGAGAAAAAGGCCUCCUUCUCUCUCUGUUUUAUCUGAUUGUUAAAAAUUUCUGAUACUGUUCCAUGUGCUGAGUGAAUACUAUGACUGUGGUUACUAAGCUCUAGAAUAUGUGGAUAAAUUAUUCAACUUGAAACUCUGUCAUAGUCUUCAGAUGUGAAAAAAAAAGUCAUUUUAUUUAUUAAGAGGAAAUUUGCUUUCACUAAUAUUUCAGUGUUUGAUUUUAGUGUAACUGACACCUGUUGUAAUAAGUUUGUGAGCUAAAAAUCAGAUGAUGUUACAUCAAAAUAUGCUGUACUUAUAAAAAUUACAUUGAAAAUAUCUUUAGAUGACUUGACAUUUUAAUAUUAGGUAGAAAGCAGCAUGAUGUAACAAACUAAUGUUAUAAGAAUUACUUUGUGGGGGGAUGGAAUUGAUUCUUGAUUUCUGAAAAUUGGCACUUGACACACAGUGGAUCUGUAAGUUCAUUACUUGCUACACAAUAUAAAGAGUUUUCAGCAUACUUUUAAAAUAAUUUUUUUCCCUAGAAAAAUCUCAUGACAUUUGUCUAAUCUGUGCAAUAUUUUGAAGUA
Long non-coding RNA from Pogoniulus pusillus (Red-fronted tinkerbird), 2346 nucleotides. RefSeq lists it as uncharacterized. The transcript has 4 exons. Lineage: Eukaryota; Metazoa; Chordata; Aves; Piciformes; Lybiidae. The record is from RefSeq and is a predicted model, not a curated record.